CAGAGAGAGAAGGAAACUGGCAUGCUGCUGCGUGGUCUUUAAUGAGACUGACUGACAUGGUUGAGUGGAGACAAGGCAUCUCUGGUGGCACUCUGAUCUGCACGUAGGCCAACAUUCACAUGUCUGCAGACCUGGAACAAAGGACAUAUGCACAUACGUUAUUGGCAGCAGGUGCUUAUAGGUUUACCUUACGACCUUUUGGAGGACGCCGACCCCUAGUUUGGGAAACACUGGACUAAAUGUGGUGGACGGGGCAACAAAAAUAAAAAGGACACCAGCGCACAAAAUGUUGUGAUGCAUUUAUGGUGAAACAGCUUAGUCAGGGUUAGGAUAAGCACCCUUGAGGGCUCUUUAUCAUAUUACAUAUAGGGGCAAUUAGGAGGGCACUUUUUUGGGUCCACCAGUGGUGUAUAAAGUAAUUACUAGCUCCAACGCUAUAAUGCCACUAGUAACAGUAACAAUUUCACAAUGUAAUAGACUAAAAUAUCAAUCACAGGCCCCUUUUUUUCCUGCUGAAUUAAUACAUUUACUUUAAUACUUUAAGUAUAUUUUGCCGAUAAUUCUGUAUUUAUUUCUGAUUUUAAAUGUUAAAGUAUUGGCAUCUUUACUUAAGUAAAUCCUUAAAGGAUAUAAGUACUUUUCCACCACUGUACAUUAUACACUAUAGGCAUGUUUACAACAUGCACACAUUUCACACCAGUGUCACUUACAAGAAGCUAUCUGACCAACAUCUAAUUUUUUGCUUUUAGACAGCGCAGCCACAACAGCCUCCCUUAUCUGCAUCCUCCAUCAGCUCUACACAAAGCAACGUGCAGCCAGGCCCACGUUGGAGAAGCCUGAUGCCGACGUGAAGGGCAGCGUCUGAGGGUGUAAAGCAGCUGUCUGCCCCGGUCAGGGCGGAGGGGGAAACGCAGCAGCCUUAUCACUCCUGUAAUACAGUGCAGUUCAGUGGGCACAGAGGAAGCUGGGCUGUGCUUGCUCUCAGAUCCUUACUGGAAUUCACAACAAAACAACAAUAGCUUUCUGACUAAUCUCAUGUCACACACGAUGAAAAAUAAUAGUUUCAGUGGCCUAUGAUAAAACAUGGGGGAAAAAUUGUCUUCGUAACACUGAAGGUGUUAAACACAGGCUCAGCAUUGUUCCAGGCAAACGUGAAUAGCUUUAUUGUUCAUAUCCUCUCAGAGAAAGUUGUUAUGGAAAAGGUAGAGCCUGGUAGAUAAAUAACUCAGCUCUGGAAAACACAGCAACAGGGCAUUACCGUAAAACAAUAAUCUUAUCUUUACAUCAUGUGAGCAGUACCGUUUGUUGUUUGAUAAGUUCCACAUUUACAUUUUAAUUAUGUAUGUGUGUGUUUUGGUGAGAAAUAAAGAGACACCAUGCAACAAUAAAGCUACCAGAUCAUAGUCAGAUUUAAGCCUAGGCCAUAGAUGACCUUUGGUGGAGUAUGCAUUGUGCUGCAGUGACAUCGUUUUGUUAUAAUUGUUGAUAUUUUCACAUUGAGUUGGCCCUCUCUUUUUCUCUCUUUUCCUCCACCACAGACUGCACCAUGUUGAACAUCUCCUCCCACGCACUUGCUCACUUUGACACAUCAGUGAGCUACAGAGUUGCAUGCUCUCUCCUCUCUCUCUCUCUCUCUCUCUCUCUCUCUCUCUCUCUCUCUCUCUCUCUCUCUCUCUCUCUCUGUCUGUCUUUGUGUCAAAUAAGGACAAGCAUUGAUCUGGGCAAAAUCAAGAGAAGGGCAUGUAGAAUAAACAUGAUUUGGUUUACAGAAGAUCUUUAUCUCAAUCAGACCACAAAAUUUCCAAAUUUCAUCAGAAAAGAAAAGAUGAUUGUUUUAUGAGAAAGUCAACAUUCUGUGAGGUGGCAAUAGCAGAAAAUUGGUGGAAAAUCCAACAGCCACACUGUAUGUGCUCAUGUAUGGGUUCACGCUGGGUGUCUGUACAUGUAUAAUCAAUAUUCACUAUUCCAUCUUUCCUUAUUUUC
Molecule: long non-coding RNA, 1983 nt
Organism: Dicentrarchus labrax (European seabass)
Lineage: Eukaryota; Metazoa; Chordata; Actinopteri; Moronidae
Exons: 3
Source: RefSeq, a predicted model, not a curated record